AUCUCGUAUCCUAACCAAUCAUCGCAGACGAGAUGCACCGAGCUGCACCGUCUAUGAUGCACAAAGAAUUUCUCUCUGAGAAAUUCAGACAAAAAGAUGGGUAGAAAAUGUCUUUUCAUUUUCCUGCAUCAAGAGUCAUGAUAUCAACAAAUGUUGACGAGGUUCUAAAAUUUUAAGUGGAAGAUGGGUGGAAAAAUGGAAAGCUUGAGAAAAGAUCCUACUUUAUUGGACUCGGUCAUGGUCAAACAACAACCACAGAAAUAAAUAGGACAAUCGACUUUGCCUUGAUUAAACAGUACUUGUUGUUUGUAUGCAUGUGGAA
This 322-nucleotide long non-coding RNA is filed under the name Elaeis guineensis (African oil palm). RNAcentral's name for it is "long non-coding RNA (EGUI_LNC030265)". Lineage: Eukaryota; Viridiplantae; Streptophyta; Magnoliopsida; Arecales; Arecaceae. The record is from RNAcentral.